CCUACGGGAGGCAGCAGUGAGGAAUAUUGGUCAAUGGCCGUAAGGCUGAACCAGCCAAGUCGCGUGAAGGAAGAAGGAUCUAUGGUUUGUAAACUUCUUUUAUAGGGGAAUAAAGGUAUCCACGUGUGGAUAUUUGCAUGUACCCUAUGAAUAAGCAUCGGCUAACUCCGUGCCAGCAGCCGCGGUAAUACGGAGGAUGCGAGCGUUAUCCGGAUUUAUUGGGUUUAAAGGGUGCGUAGGUUGUUUUUUAAGUCAGCGGUGAAAGUUUGUGGCUCAACCAUAAAAUUGCCGUUGAAACUGGAAGACGUGAGUGUGUUUGAGGUAGGCGGAAUGCGUGGUGUAGCGGUGAAAUGCAUAGAUAUCACGCAGAACUCCGAUUGCGAAGGCAGCUUACUAAGCCAUAACUGACACGGAAGCACGAAAGCGUGGGGAUCAAACAGGAUUAGAUACCCGUGUAGUC
RNAcentral lists this ribosomal RNA (460 nucleotides) under uncultured bacterium. RNAcentral describes it as "partial 16S ribosomal RNA". It matches the Rfam family "Bacterial small subunit ribosomal RNA", at positions 338 to 795 of the family's 1533-position model. The record is from RNAcentral.